UACGUAGGGUGCAAGCGUUAAUCGGAAUUACUGGGCGUAAAGCGUGCGCAGGCGGUUAUAUAAGACAGUUGUGAAAUCCCCGGGCUCAACCUGGGAACUGCAUCUGUGACUGUAUAGCUAGAGUACGGUAGAGGGGGAUGGAAUUCCGCGUGUAGCAGUGAAAUGCGUAGAUAUGCGGAGGAACACCGAUGGCGAAGGCAAUCCCCUGGACCUGUACUGACGCUCAUGCACGAAAGCGUGGGGAGCAAAC
This 250-nucleotide ribosomal RNA is filed under the name uncultured bacterium. Its description in RNAcentral is "partial 16S ribosomal RNA". It matches the Rfam family "Bacterial small subunit ribosomal RNA", at positions 524 to 773 of the family's 1533-position model. The record is from RNAcentral.